AGAAAUAUACAAAAAUAGAGAAACAGUCGGUUCUCUCUCUCUUUCAUUAUCUCUUCAAUUUCUAACCGUAAAUUUCGAUCAAUCCAUGGGAUUCGAUGUUCUUCACAUGGUAUCAGAGCAGCGGUUCUGAUUCUACUCGUCACCGGCUUUCUCGCGAUGUUACCCUCAUCAACUUUCAUCUGAGUUUCUCUGUUAACUGAAAAAUCUACGGUUUUCUCAUUUUGCUGGGUUUUCCUCUAUAAUCGUUGGUUUUUUUUAGUCGG
RNAcentral lists this long non-coding RNA (263 nucleotides) under Nicotiana benthamiana. RNAcentral describes it as "long non-coding RNA (NBEN_LNC035455)". The record is from RNAcentral. Lineage: Eukaryota; Viridiplantae; Streptophyta; Magnoliopsida; Solanales; Solanaceae.